CAUGUCUUUUUGAUCAUAAUUAAAAGUCUGACCUGCUCAAUGAUUUAAAUUAAAUAGCCGCGAUAAUUUGAUCGUGCAAAGGUAGCAUAAUAAUUUGUUUCUUAAUUAGGAACUGGAAUGAAGGGUUGAACGAAAAAAUAACUGUCUCAAUUUAAUUAAAAUUAGAAUUUUAUUUUUAAGUAAAAAAGCUUAAAUAUUUUUAAAAGACGAGAAGACCCUAUAGAGUUUUAUAUUGAUAUAUUUAUUUUUUAGUUUAAGAAUUUAAUUUUGAAAUUGAUAAUAAAAUAUUUAAUUGGGGUGAUUGAAAAAUUUGAUAAACUUUUUUUAUAAAUUUAACAUUAAUUUAUGAUAAAUUGAUCCAUAUAUAAUGAUUAUAAGAUUAAAUUACCUUAGGGAUAACAGCGUAAUUAUUUUUAAGAGUUCUAAUCGAAAAAAUAGAUUGCGACC
RNAcentral lists this ribosomal RNA (447 nucleotides) under Onthophagus bidentatus. Its description in RNAcentral is "partial 16S ribosomal RNA". Lineage: Eukaryota; Metazoa; Arthropoda; Insecta; Coleoptera; Scarabaeidae. The record is from RNAcentral.